GCCGGCAUUAAGGAAAUGAGACUCACCUAUCCGUGAUUCCUGUUCGUCAGUGCAGGGCUCAGAAGAAGGGCUGUCACAACAGUUCAUGUUGGGCUGCCUGGCAUCCCUUGACAACAGUGGCACUUCUGCAGCUACUGAUCUGGAAGCAACUCCACCACUUCAAAGCACCUUGAGCUCCACUGGCAGGAGAAAUACGACAGCACACGACAGGUCCAUGGCCCGCUCUGGUCCUCCUAUCGGGAUGUACUUCACAGGCUCUCUUCUGGCCUGCAUUCAAUCGGUGAGAGUUUAGAACAGAUCUCAUCAGUGAGCCAGGUCGGCCUGCCCGCCUCCUACACUUAUGCCAUCUAUCUUUAGAGUUGCAAGCUC
Molecule: long non-coding RNA, 369 nt
Organism: Triplophysa dalaica
Lineage: Eukaryota; Metazoa; Chordata; Actinopteri; Cypriniformes; Nemacheilidae
Exons: 3
Source: RefSeq, a predicted model, not a curated record